AACGCGAAGAACCUUACCAGGUCUUGACAUCGAUGUAAUCCUGUAGAGAUACGGGGUGCCUUCGGGCAACAGAAGACAGGUGGUGCAUGGUUGUCGUCAGCUCGUGUCGUGAGAUGUUGGGUUAAGUCCCGCAACGAGCGCAACCCUUAUGAUCAGUUACUAACGGGUGAUGCCGAGGACUCUGAUGAGACUGCCGGGGACAACUCGGAGGAAGGUGGGGACGACGUCAAAUCAUCAUGCCCCUUAUGACCUGGGCUACACACGUGCUACAAUGGUGACAACAAAGAGGAGCGAGCUGGUAACAGUAAGCGGAUCUCAAAAAAGUCAUCUCAGUUCGGAUUGUGGGCUGCAACCCGCCCACAUGAAGUUGGAGUUGCUAGUAAUCGCGAAUCAGCAUGUCGUUGUGAAUACGUUCCCGGGUCUUGUACACACCG
This 434-nucleotide ribosomal RNA is filed under the name uncultured bacterium. RNAcentral's name for it is "bacterial SSU rRNA". It matches the Rfam family "Bacterial small subunit ribosomal RNA", at positions 958 to 1392 of the family's 1533-position model. The record is from RNAcentral.